AGAGUUUGAUCCUGGCUCAGAUUGAACGCUGGCGGCAUGCUUUACACAUGCAAGUCGAACGGCAGCGCGGGGGCAACCCUGGCGGCGAGUGGCGAACGGGUGAGUAAUGUAUCGGAACGUAUCCAGUAAUGGGGGAUAACCAGUCGAAAGAUUGGGUAAUACCGCAUACGCACGAGAGUGGAAAGUAGGGGAUCGCAAGACCUUACGUUAUUGGAGCGGCCGAUAUCUGAUUAGCUAGUUGGUGGGGUAAAGGCCUACCAAGGCGACGAUCAGUAGCAGGUCUGAGAGGAUGAUCUGCCACACUGGGACUGAGACACGGCCCAGACUCCUACGGGAGGCAGCAGUGGGGAAUUUUGGACAAUGGGCGAAAGCCUGAUCCAGCCAUGCCGCGUGCAGGAAGAAGGCCUUCGGGUUGUAAACUGCUUUAGUCUAGGAAAAAGGGGUGCACGGUUAAUACCCGUGUGCUUUGAUGGUACUGGAAGAAUAAGCACCGGCUAACUACGUGCCAGCAGCCGCGGUAAUACGUAGGGUGCGAGCGUUAAUCGGAAUUACUGGGCGUAAAGCGUGCGCAGGCGGUCCGUUAAGACAGUCGUGAAAGCCCCGGGCUUAACCUGGGAACUGCGAUUGUGACUGGCGGGCUAGAGUGUGUCAGAGGGGGGUGGAAUUCCACGUGUAGCAGUGAAAUGCGUAGAGAUGUGGAGGAACACCGAUGGCGAAGCAGCCCCCUGGGAUAACACUGACGCUCAUGCACGAAAGCGUGGGGAGCAAACAGGAUUAGAUACCUGGUAGUCCACGCCCUAAACGAUGUCGACUGGUUGUUGGAUGGGUAACCAUUUAGUAACGAAGCUAACGCGUGAAGUCGACCGCCUGGGGAGUACGGUCGCAAGAUUAAAACUCAAAGGAAUUGACGGGGACCCGCACAAGCGGUGGAUGAUGUGGUUUAAUUCGAUGCAACGCGAAAAACCUUACCUACACUUGACAUGUCAGAGAUCCCGCAGAGAUGUGGGAGUGCCGCAAGGAAUCUGAACACAGGUGCUGCAUGGCUGUC
RNAcentral lists this ribosomal RNA (1048 nucleotides) under uncultured bacterium. RNAcentral describes it as "bacterial SSU rRNA". It matches the Rfam family "Bacterial small subunit ribosomal RNA", at positions 8 to 1053 of the family's 1533-position model. The record is from RNAcentral.